RNAcentral lists this ribosomal RNA (253 nucleotides) under uncultured bacterium. Its description in RNAcentral is "partial 16S ribosomal RNA". It matches the Rfam family "Bacterial small subunit ribosomal RNA", at positions 524 to 776 of the family's 1533-position model. The record is from RNAcentral.
UACGGAGGGGGCUAGCGUUGUUCGGAAUUACUGGGCGUAAAGCGCGCGUAGGCGGACCUGCAAGUCGGGGGUGAAAGCCCGAGGCUCAACCUCGGAACUGCCUCCGAUACUGCGGGUCUCGAGUCCGGGAGAGGUGAGUGGAAUUCCUAGUGUAGAGGUGAAAUUCGUAGAUAUUAGGAAGAACACCAGUGGCGAAGGCGGCUCACUGGCCCGGUACUGACGCUGAGGCACGAAAGCGUGGGGAGCAAACAGG